RNAcentral lists this ribosomal RNA (229 nucleotides) under uncultured eukaryote. Its description in RNAcentral is "partial small subunit ribosomal RNA". It matches the Rfam family "Eukaryotic small subunit ribosomal RNA", at positions 1208 to 1456 of the family's 1831-position model. The record is from RNAcentral.
GGGAAACUUACCAGGUCCAGACAUAGUAAGGAUUGACAGAUUGAGAGCUCUUUCUUGAUUCUAUGGGAGGUGGUGCAUGGCCGUUCUUAGUUGGUGGAGUGAUUUGUCUGGUUAAUUCCGUUAACGAACGAGACCCCCGCCUGCUAAAUAGGUCCGUGAAUGAAUUUCAUUGACGAGAUCUUCUUAGAGGGACUUUUGGUGACUAACCAAAGGAAGUUGGGGGCAAUAA